Molecule: long non-coding RNA, 430 nt
Filed under: Monodelphis domestica (gray short-tailed opossum)
Lineage: Eukaryota; Metazoa; Chordata; Mammalia; Didelphimorphia; Didelphidae
Description: lncRNA (ENSMODG00000039393.1)
Source: RNAcentral
GUGAAAUUCCUGUUAUGAUAUAUCUCUUCAACCUACCAACAGAAGUAUUAUAAAGCAAUCCAGAGAGUAGAAGAGAAAAGACCCAAAGAGACAGUCCUCAAAGUCCAGUGUCAAGACAAAAGUCAAGAUGACCAGCGAUGGCACAGGAUGCAACAGGUGAUUGGGCAUCUUUGAUGUCUGUCCAAACUUUAAGCUCUCCACAGUGCCUGCUUCAACCUCCUGAUAAUAAAUUCUUCUCAUGCACUCAGCAUCUCACCAAGGAAAGCCUUCACGUCCCUCUGGCAGAAAUCCCCCUAACUCACCAAAGAAUUUGAAGCAUGGCAGUUUCACCUGGAUUCGCCCCCUUAUGGUGCCUCUGCAUGUUACAGCUUUUUGGAGUCACAGAGAUCAGUGCAAUUCUUCUGAGGGCUUCUUAGUGAAAUCAAGAUAG